GAUGAACGCUGGCGGCGUGCCUAACACAUGCAAGUCGAACGAAUCAGAUAUUCAACACUGAGCUUUUAGACGAGGGAAUAAAGUUAGCCAGCAUCAAGGACGAACGAUAGAGAGUCCUUUGCGCGUUAAAAAGUGUGCUAACACAGAGUUGUCUGAAUGUUGAGUGUUGAAUAUCUGAUUAGUGGCGGACGGGUGAGUAACGCGUGGGGAACCUGCCCUAUACAGGGGGAUAGCCUCGGGAAACCGGGAUUAAUACCCCAUAAAACUCUAGUAUCGCAUGAUACGUGAGUCAAAGCUGAGGCGGUAUAGGAUGGCCCCGCGUCUGAUUUAGCUAGUUGGUGAGGUAACGGCUCACCAAGGCGACGAUCAGUAGCCGGCCUGAGAGGGUGACGGCCACACUGGAACUGAGACACGGUCCAGACUCCUACGGGAGGCAGGCAGUGGGGAAUAGUUGCACAAUGGGGAAACCCUGGAUGCAGCGACGCCG
This 487-nucleotide ribosomal RNA is filed under the name uncultured bacterium. Its description in RNAcentral is "bacterial SSU rRNA". It matches the Rfam family "Bacterial small subunit ribosomal RNA", at positions 28 to 399 of the family's 1533-position model. The record is from RNAcentral.